GCAGCCCCAGGCAGCCCCGGCAGCCUCCUCAGCUUCGGAGCUCACCAAAACCAGCCAGCCACCUCGGGGAGUCACCCAAGAGCCUAGAUGGCUACAGACGGGUUGGUUACUGGUUCUGCUCUAAGGACUGGCCUGCUGGACUCGCUGCGCUUCUCUGCCAGCUGUUCCCUCUUCCGCCUUCUGUUUGCUUUGAUCUGAGGUUGACAGACCACCUGGCCUGCUAAACUGGGAAGGUGGGGGAGUCGAGCCCUCAGGAAGCCAGUCUGUGGGGGGUGAUGACAUCAUCUCAGCCACGCAAGCCCUGCAGAGAGAAGAGGGAGUCUCCCAGCUGUGGAGACGAGAAAACAAUGAUCUCCACGCGCCCCGCAGCCAGAGUGGAGUUCAAGUCCCUCAGCUUAAAAUCAAAUCUCCCCUUUGUUCCUAACUCUCCCCCACCACCCACAAAUGUCCUGCAACUGUCAUGGAGCGGCUACUACUAAUAAUAAUCACUGGCCUUGUGUUGGGCUUUGCAAACUGUUCUCACAUUCACUGCAC
Homo sapiens (human) is the source of this 534-nucleotide long non-coding RNA. RefSeq lists it as uncharacterized. The record is from RefSeq and is a predicted model, not a curated record. Lineage: Eukaryota; Metazoa; Chordata; Mammalia; Primates; Hominidae. The transcript is spliced from 3 exons.